Molecule: ribosomal RNA, 253 nt
Filed under: uncultured bacterium
Lineage: Bacteria
Description: partial 16S ribosomal RNA
Rfam family: Bacterial small subunit ribosomal RNA
Source: RNAcentral
GACGUAGGGCGCGAGCGUUGUCCGGAUUUAUUGGGCGUCAAGAGCUCGUAGGCGGCUUGUCGCGUCGACCGUGAAAACUUGGGGCUCAACCCCAAGCCUGCGGUCGAUACGGGCAGGCUAGAGUUCGGUAGGGGAGACUGGAAUUCCUGGUGUAGCGGUGAAAUGCGUAGAUAUCAGGAGGAACACCGGUGGCGAAGGCGGCUAUCUGGACAGAAACUGACGCUGAGGCGCGAAAGCUAGGGGAGCAAACAGG